Molecule: long non-coding RNA, 498 nt
Organism: Dermacentor silvarum
Lineage: Eukaryota; Metazoa; Arthropoda; Arachnida; Ixodida; Ixodidae
Exons: 2
Source: RefSeq, a predicted model, not a curated record
GUAGCUUGCAGUCCUGCAUAAAUCUUCACUAUGAAGAAGCUUUCCAGUUCGCAAAUUCUGGCCGUUUUGGCCGCAGUGGCCAUUAUUUUAGCAGCGUAUGAAAAUCAAGGUUUACGAUUUGCACUCGCUUCUCCAUUUCCCGGGUGUUGUGGAAGCAAACCUCGUGCUAAUCAUGGUACUUUGACAGUUGAUAUGAUACAAUAUCGUCCUCACUUCAAUACAAGUACAGCUAAUAAACGCAGUAAUCCUAAGCAACAACUACAACAAGAGCAAGGCCGAAAACGUUCACCUCCAGACCGCAUACCUCGCGCAGGAAGUGCCCAUGGACAUCCAUCCAGUAAGACGCUAGUACGUCGUACUACUGUGUGAUCUCAUCGAAUAUUUCAGAAUGUGCGCGUGUGUGAAUCGCACUGACUGGAGGCAGCAAAAAAAAAAAAAAAGUUGCCGAAUUGCGCUUCACGUAAUGCUUGCAGUAUUAAAUAAUUGUUUAUACUUGAA